RNAcentral lists this long non-coding RNA (367 nucleotides) under Ananas comosus (pineapple). RNAcentral's name for it is "long non-coding RNA (ACOM_LNC016909)". The record is from RNAcentral. Lineage: Eukaryota; Viridiplantae; Streptophyta; Magnoliopsida; Poales; Bromeliaceae.
UUCUUUUUGCAUUAGUUCACCUAUGUAUUGAGAGUGAUUCAUUGUAGGUGAGGAUAAGGAAGAGCUAUGUAUUUUGAGAUUGAAAAUGUAUUCAUUUAAAGAAAAUGAUGUAAAUGAAAAUGUUGAAACUAUUGUAAUAGUUAGUAAAGUACUCUCUUUAUUUCACAUGUGUAUCUUGUGGAUUUGCUUGCUCUUUGUAUUGUUCGCACUGGUUGUGCCCUUGUGGAUGUGUAUGUUUAGAAUUUAAUUUCCUGGGUAAAUUCUUGUACACAUUUCCUGUUGUUGAGCCUCGGGCGGACAGGGGAGGUGCUGUCCGUUCGGCGGCCUGCCGCCGCGGCCGAACCGUGCCAAAUUGGUAGUGGUUUCG